CAGGGGAAGCAGCAGAAGACGGCGGGAGAGUAAAGGAAGGAGAAAGGAGACAAAGGCAGAGAAAGGGAGAGCAGGGACAAAGAAGGAUGGACAAGGCUCCGUGGUGAACGCGCUGCCUCCCGCCUGGUUAGACACUAUCUAAAUCUGCUCUCCCCGGAGCCGGAGCCGGGAAUGGGGAAUGGAGAGACGCUGAAUUAGCGCUUAAGAUUUCUUGCUCCCGCGUUGUGCUGGAAUGUCUGGCGUAUUCGUUUCCACAGGAAACGCGAGGCAUGAAUAUGGAUGAAAUUCCUCACUGAGACCACAAGGGAAGAGCAUGAGUUUUGAGUCCGAGAGCUCUGGGUUUCCAGAAGGAGCCGUUUUCCCAUGCCCCACUCACACGAUCCUGGAAAAGGAGAGCAACCCGAGAUGCCCCAGGUUAGGGACAGGCCUGUGUGACCUUGUGUUUCAACAAAUGGAUCACAAACAAUGCAACCUGCACCUCUCCGGCCUUCCCCACCCAGUCGGAGUUCUCCGCUCCACAUCAUCGCCUCUCCCGCUGAAAGUUCCAAGUUCUGAUCUCCCCUUCCCUACCUCUUUUCUUGACGUCUCUGGAACAAGCUAUCUGAAAGGAGAAAUAGUCACAUCACAAUUUUUUUUUUCUGGGCUCAUGUGAAUAUUGUUUCAGGGACAAGAAGAAAAAAAAAUUUGUCUUCUCUAUUUCCUUAAGAAGGUCAGCAAGAUGGAACAGUUGCAUUUCAUAUGCAGCCUCUCGAAGGACAUUCAUUUUCUCCAGCAGAGCCCCAGGGUGGACAAGGAGGGCCAGCUGUGUGCAGCGUCUGUUGUGUACAGCAUUCAGGACAAUGUCCUCUUGGAUCCCGAGCUCUCCACACAGACAGAGCAGAUAAAGGAAGGUCCCUCUCCUGGUCUUCCUUCCAGGGAGGCUGUUGCUGAGAGAGGUUAAGGGACCUCCCAGAGUCCUCCUCAGGUGGGAGCGGAAGGUUGGCAUUGCUGACCUCCCAUAAGCUUUUACCUGAACUUGGGCUCUGCCUGUCUUUGUUCUGAGGAAUGAGACUGCAAAGAAGCUCCCGAUCUGAAAAGGUGGCAUUUGCUAAGUUAGAAAAUGGAAGUACCACCCAGUCUGGGGGAUCCCAUAGGCACCCAAGAGUGCACCAAGCCACUAGGACCAAGCUCACCUGAGAGUCCCACCCUGCUCGGAAUAUGCAGACUUGGUGUCCUGUCGCUUUAAAGCACUCCAUGCCUGGAAAUGCCACGGCCCACAUGGAAUGGGCACAGCCAACAACUCUCCAAGGAGCCCCAGCAAUGAAUGAUGAGCAUCUCCCCUGAACCCAUCUCCCCAUGUCCGGUGUUUAAAGUGAAUUGAAAUGAAUAUCUGAUAAAUGAAUAAACCUGUAAAUGGAAUCAAAAACCUUAUGAACUUGAAGGAGAAAUAGGAGUCCCAGGUCUGUUAAGUCUAAAUUGAAUAAAUCUGAUCAACUGCCUGACAAUUUCUGCCAACAGCUUUUGAAGAGGAAGAAAAGGGGUGAGCAGAGAAAUUGGGUAGAGGAGAGGGAAGAGCGAGUGGGGUAGGGGAGGCAGGCAUGACUCAGUAAUGAAGCUAUCACCAGGAGUCCCCAGUGUUCCUUACCUGGACUAAUAAAUGGAUGACAAUAGGAGUUCCUUGCAAGUCUGUCUGCUCCUGUGUGUCUGCCCAGAGGACACCUCUAGAGAAUGAGAGAUUUGCAUAAAAUGGGGCCAAAGUCUCCUUUUGGGCCUUGCUGGACAAGGAGCUGAGGAAGAACUCUGGAGUCCUGGAAUCAGCUACUGGGCCUAGAUGAUCUCACCUGCUAGGAUGGGUCUGUAUGUUUGGGUAGCUUGAGCUGGAGGCAGGGAGGUCACAUUGAGGAUGCGCUCAAUGGCUCUCGAUUUGGCCUCUGCCACUCUUUGUUCUGUUGGGUAACUUACUUCCUGCAGUGGUUUUAAACAUGGCCACAGACUUCUUUAACACUCAUCUUAGUGAGAGGUGGUGGUGGUGGAUCUGUGUCUUCUUCUCUUGAAUCUAGGUGGCUUUGUGACUCCACUAAUACAGAACAGUGGCAUUGAUGCUGUCUGACUUUCCAGGCUGGGCUGGAAAAGGUUGUGCAACUUCUGCCUGAGUUUCUUGGGACACUGUCAUUGGGGGAAAACAGCCCCUAUGUAGGAAAUCCAAUUGCCCUGAGAGUGCCAUGCUGGAGAGGUGUUCCUGUUCAAGGCCAUGCCCCACUGAGCUCCCGGCCAGUGGCCAGGCUGGCCGUGGGGAAUGAACCCCGUGAGCCACUCAGUCUCGCCCAGCCUUCAGAUGACUGCAGUUCCAGCCCAUGUGUGACUGCAGCAGCUAAGUCACAGCUGCCUCGUCAAACUCUCCCCAAAUUUUUGACCUGCAAAAGUACAAACGCUAUAAAAUUAUUGUUUUAAGCUACUAAUUCAGGAGUAAUUUGUUAAUAGCAACCAAAACACACCCCUUCUUGGGUUUCAAUUUUUUUUCUGAACCAUGAAGGGUUAGACUAGAUAAUUUUUAAAACCAUACUUUGAAAGUUUUAAAUAGUAGAUGAACUUUUUUCAAUUGUUUUUAUUGUAGUAAAAUAUACAUAAAAUUUACCAUCUUAAACAUUUUUAAGUGUACGGUUCAGUGGUAUUAAAUAUAUUCACAAUGUUGUGUAACCAUCAUCACCAUCCAUCUCCGUAACUCAUUUCGUCCUGCAAAACUGAAACUCUGUACACAUUAAACAAUAACUCCGUCUUCCCCUUUCUCCUCCAGCCCCUGACAUCCACCAUUCUACUUUCUGCCUCUAUGAUUUAGACUACUCUAGGUAUCUCACAUAAGUGGAAUCAUACAAUGUUUGCCUUUUGGGCCUGGUUUAUUUCACUCAGCAUAAUGUUUUCAUGGUUCAUCCAGGUUGUAGUAUGUACCAGGAUUUCUUUCCUUUUUAAGACUGGAUAAUAUUUCAUUGUAUGUAUAUACAACAUUUUGCUUAUCCAUUCAUUUGUUGAUAGACACUUUUGUUUUUGCCAUGUUUUAGCUAUUGUGCAUUAAUGCUGGUGUGAACAGGAGUGUACAAAUGGAAAGAACCUGCUUCCAAUUAUGUCAAAUAGAUACCCAGAAGUGGAAUUGCUGAUUUACAUGGUAAUUUUAUUUUUAAUUUUUUGAGAAACCACCACACCGUUUUUCACAGUGGCUGUCCCAUUUUUGCAUUCCUGCCACCAGUGUACAAGGAUUCCAGUUCCCCACACCCUCAUCAACACUUGUUAUAUAUAUAUUUUUACAAUAGCCAUGAUAAUGGAUAUGAAGAGGUGUCCCAUUGUUGCUUUGAUUCACAUUUCUCUAAUGAUUAGUGAUGCUGGACAUCUUUUCAAAGCAUGUUUUUUUUAAAAAAGGAGUUCAAACAUCAUAAAAGGAUAACAGAAAUUAAACAGUUUUCUUCCCUACUCCUGAGUUCUUCUCACCACUGAGAGGUAACUAACUUUAACAUAUGACUGAUUCUUCCAGAAAUGCUUGUUGUGAUUACAACAUAAUUAUAUCUUUAUAAAAUUACACAUAGAAUUAUAUCAUAGUUAAUUUUUGUAAUUUCCUUUUUUUCCACUUACUGAUACAGAUUGGAGAUAUUUCCAUACCAGUAUACAUAGGUCUACUUCAUUCUUAAUAUCUGCAUAAUUCCAUGGCAUGGCUUGGUCAACGUUUACUUCUCUAGUCACUGUUGAUGGGUAUUUCAGUUGCUUCUAGGUUGUUUGGUUGGUAUUUUUUGCUACUGUAAUAAUACUGCAUUGACUAUUAUUGUAUACUUGUUUAUGCUUUUGUAGGUCAAAUUCCUAGAAGUACAGUUUCUGGGUCAAAGGAUAUGCAUUGACAAUUUUGAUAAUUAUUGCCAAAUUUGUCUUUUAAAGAGGUGGCACAUAUUUAUACCACCACAAUGAGGAAGCUAGUAUCCUGCUACCUUUAUUAUCUUUCAGGUUUUGUCAUCUGCUGGAAGAAAAUAAUAUUCUGUUUUCAAGUUUUCAUUUCUUUAAUUGUGAAGUUGAGCAUUUUUAUAUGCACUUUGAUGAUUUUUUAUACAAAAUUUCAAUCAUGCAAAAGUAGAGAGACUAUAUCAUGAACUCCCAUAAGUAGAUCACCCCAAGUCAACUGUCAUUAUGGGUUUACCACUUGUUUCAAGAUUGAUGAUUUUUAAUUUCUAUUUUUCAUUGAAUAGCUAAUUUAUAUCCUUUGCCAAUUCUAUAGGGCUGUUCAUAUUUUGUUUUUUUUUAAAUGGUUUGUCGGAGCUUUUCUUAUCAUAACAAAUUAACUUUUUGCCAUUAUAUGUUACAAAUAUUUUUCCUAUUAAACUUGUGUUUUGAUAUUAUUAAAGGUCUUUUUGUACAGAAGCAAUUUUACUUUUUAUAUCAAAUUUAUCAAUCUUUUAAAAAGAUUUGUAGUUUUGUGUUUUCAAUGAUCUUCUCUACUCCAGGAAUAUAAAAUAAAAUAAUAAAAUAAA
This 4484-nucleotide long non-coding RNA is filed under the name Homo sapiens (human). Its description in RNAcentral is "HSALNT0181627". Lineage: Eukaryota; Metazoa; Chordata; Mammalia; Primates; Hominidae. The record is from RNAcentral.